Molecule: unclassified non-coding RNA, 329 nt
Filed under: soil metagenome
Description: partial contains 5.8S ribosomal RNA, internal transcribed spacer 2, and large subunit ribosomal RNA
Rfam family: 5.8S ribosomal RNA (bases 1-120)
Source: RNAcentral
GAUGAAGAACGUAGCGAAAUGCGAUAAGUAAUGUGAAUUGCAGAAUUCAGUGAAUCAUCGAAUCUUUGAACGCACAUUGCGCCCCUUGGUAUUCCGAGGGGCAUGCCUGUUCGAGCGUCAGUAUAACCCCUCAAGCUCAGCUUGGUGUUGGGGCCUGCUGCACUGGCAGCCCUUAAAAUCAGUGGCGGCGCCAUCUGGCUCUAAGCGUAGUAAUUCUUCUCGCUAUGGAGUCCUGGUGGAUGCUUGCCAUCAACCCCCAAUUUUUCUAUGGUUGACCUCGGAUCAGGUAGGGAUACCCGCUGAACUUAAGCAUAUCAAUAAGCGGAGGA